UACGUAGGGGACUAGCGUUGUCCGGAAUCAUUGGGCGUAAAGCGCGUGUAGGCGGUCCGGUAAGUCCGCUGUGAAAGUCGGGGGCUCAACCCUCGGAUGCCGGUGGAUACUGUCGGGCUUGAGUACGGAAGAGGCGAGUGGAAUUCCUGGUGUAGCGGUGAAAUGCGCAGAUAUCAGGAGGAACACCAAUUGCGAAGGCAGCUCGCUGGGACGUUACUGACGCUGAGACGCGAAAGCGUGGGGAGCAAACAGG
RNAcentral lists this ribosomal RNA (253 nucleotides) under uncultured bacterium. Its description in RNAcentral is "partial 16S ribosomal RNA". It matches the Rfam family "Bacterial small subunit ribosomal RNA", at positions 524 to 776 of the family's 1533-position model. The record is from RNAcentral.